Molecule: ribosomal RNA, 502 nt
Filed under: uncultured bacterium
Lineage: Bacteria
Description: partial 16S ribosomal RNA
Rfam family: Bacterial small subunit ribosomal RNA
Source: RNAcentral
AUUGAACGCUGGCGGUAUGCUUAACACAUGCAAGUCGAACGGCAGCACAGUAUGUAGCAAUACAUAUGGGUGGCGAGUGGCGGACGGGUGAGUAACGCGUAGGAAUCUACCCUAAAGCGGGGGACAACCCGAGGAAACUCGGGCCAAUACCGCAUAAUCUCGAAAGAGUAAAGCUGGGGCAACCUGGCACUUUAGGAGGAGCCUGCGUCCGAUUAGCUAGUUGGGGAGGUAAAGGCGCACCAAGGCGAUGAUCGGUAGCUGGUCUGAGAGGAUGAUCAGCCACACUGGGACUGAGACACGGCCCAGACUCCUACGGGAGGCAGCAGUGGGGAAUAUUGGACAAUGGGGGCAACCCUGAUCCAGCAAUGCCGCGUGUGUGAAGAAGGCCUUAGGGUUGUAAAGCACUUUAGUUGGGGAAGAAGGAUAGUUGUUUAAGAGAUGAUUAUUUUGACGGUACCCAAAGAAUAAGCACCGGCUAACUCUGUGCCAGCCGCCGCAGUAA